CCUACGGGUGGCUGCAGUGGGGAAUAUUGGACAAUGGGGGCAACCCUGAUCCAGCCAUGCCGCGUGUGUGAAGAAGGCCCUCGGGUUGUAAAGCACUUUCAGUGAGGAAGAACGCCUGGUGGUUAAUACCCAUCAGGAAAGACAUCACUCACAGAAGAAGCACCGGCUAACUCCGUGCCAGCAGCCGCGGGAAUACGGAGGGUGCGAGCGUUAAUCGGAAUUACUGGGCGUAAAGCGCGCGUAGGUGGCUUGAUAAGCCGGUUGUGAAAGCCCCGGGCUCAACCUGGGAACGGCAUCCGGAACUGUCAAGCUAGAGUGCAGGAGAGGAAGGUAGAAUUCCCGGUGUAGCGGUGAAAUGCGUAGAGAUCGGGAGGAAUACCAGUGGCGAAGGCGGCCUUCUGGACUGACACUGACACUGAGGUGCGAAAGCGUGGGUAGCAAACAGGAUUAGAUACCCGUGUAGUC
This 465-nucleotide ribosomal RNA is filed under the name Vreelandella stevensii. Its description in RNAcentral is "partial 16S ribosomal RNA". It matches the Rfam family "Bacterial small subunit ribosomal RNA", at positions 338 to 795 of the family's 1533-position model. The record is from RNAcentral. Lineage: Bacteria; Pseudomonadati; Pseudomonadota; Gammaproteobacteria; Oceanospirillales; Halomonadaceae.